UACCUUUUGCUACGGAAUAACGCAGGGAAACUUGUGCUAAUACCGUAUGUGUCCUUCGGGAGAAAGAUUUAUCGGCAAGAGAUGAGCCCGCGUUGGAUUAGCUAGUUGGUGGGGUAAAGGCCUACCAAGGCGACGAUCCAUAGCUGGUCUGAGAGGAUGAUCAGCCACUUUGGGACUGAGACACGGCCCAACACUCCUACGGGAGGCAGCAGUGGGGAAUAUUGGACAAUGGGCGCAAGCCUGAUCCAGCCAUGCCGCGUGAGUGAUGAAGGCCCUAGGGUUGUAAAGCUCUUUCACCGGAGAAGAUAAUGACGGUAUCCGGAGAAGAAGCCCCGGCUAACUUCGUGCCAGCAGCCGCGGUAAUACGAAGGGGGCUAGCGUUGUUCGGAAUUACUGGGCGUAAAGCGCACGUAGGCGGAUCGAUCAGUCAGGGGUGAAAUCCCAGGGCUCAACCCUGGAACUGCCUUUGAUACUGUCGAUCUGGAGUAUGGAAGAGGUGAGUGGAAUUCCGAGUGUAGAGGUGAAAUUCGUAGAUAUUCGGAGGAACACCAGUGGCGAAGGCGGCUCACUGGUCCAUUACUGACGCUGAGGUGCGAAAGCGUGGGGAGCAAACAGGAUUAGAU
This 623-nucleotide ribosomal RNA is filed under the name Martinezella tropici. RNAcentral describes it as "bacterial SSU rRNA". It matches the Rfam family "Bacterial small subunit ribosomal RNA", at positions 127 to 783 of the family's 1533-position model. The record is from RNAcentral. Lineage: Bacteria; Pseudomonadati; Pseudomonadota; Alphaproteobacteria; Hyphomicrobiales; Rhizobiaceae.